GCAGGGGAGUCUGCGCCGCGGCUGGCGCAGCGGGGUUUGGCGGCAGCAGGGUCCCCGCCUUCCUCGCAGCUUCUGCGCGCAGCGCCGGGGAGCUGGCUGUCUGGAGCCCGCAGGGUGUGGGUGAGCGGCUCCGAGAUCGGCAGCACUCGCAUCUUGAAGAUCCAGCACAAUGCCUGGCCCUUUACAAGAAUCACUAAAAGGACUAUGGAGAAUUAACCCAAAUGCUCAGGAACUCAGUUGCAACUUUCUGAAGGGUUCUUACCUCAACUCCAGACUCUGCUUUAACAAUCAUCCAACCAAAUCCAUGCAGCCAGCUGGGACGGAGCCCUGGUGUUUUCACAUACAAUUCGUAUGGAUACUUGAACAAGCUUUGAAGAGACUAGUUGCUUCCAAGACUGCCCCAUUCACAGGAUAAACUUUUCCAAACUAGGUGAUAGGACAUAGAAUUCUUUCCCUUCUCCCUCACCCUUCACAAUGUA
Lemur catta (Ring-tailed lemur) is the source of this 479-nucleotide long non-coding RNA. RefSeq lists it as uncharacterized. The transcript has 3 exons. The record is from RefSeq and is a predicted model, not a curated record. Lineage: Eukaryota; Metazoa; Chordata; Mammalia; Primates; Lemuridae.